This is a non-coding RNA of Leptonychotes weddellii (Weddell seal), 351 nucleotides long. Lineage: Eukaryota; Metazoa; Chordata; Mammalia; Carnivora; Phocidae. The record is from RefSeq and is a predicted model, not a curated record.
ACGCUGUCUGCUGGACCCCUACCUGCGCAUAGAUGAGGGGCAGAAGGCACAUAUCUCAGAAGACCUCAGCCUUAGCGAGGUGGCCCAAAGCUUCAAGUCCUCAAAAAGCAGCUCUCUGAACUGGUCCCAGGUUGACAGUGAUGAUGUACCUAAUCAGCGCAAGGAACAUUUGCUGGCUGUCAGCAGCUUUCUUUUCGCAUUGAUCUGGGGCUUUGGAGCCCACCUUCCCUCCAGGCUCUGGCCCCUCUUUGAUUCCUUCUUGAGGGGUUCUAUUAGUUGCCUCUCCAACUAUCCUGAGCCACCGCCUUCAGCCUUGGUGUUUGAUCUACAUGUGUGCCCUGAUAAUGGGAC